Pseudophryne corroboree (corroboree frog) is the source of this 5722-nucleotide long non-coding RNA. RefSeq lists it as uncharacterized. Lineage: Eukaryota; Metazoa; Chordata; Amphibia; Anura; Myobatrachidae. The transcript is spliced from 2 exons. The record is from RefSeq and is a predicted model, not a curated record.
AGCCAAUCAGCUCCUAACUGACAUUUUUCAAACACAGCCUGUGACAUGGAAGUUAGGAGCUGAUUGGCUGGUGCUUUUUCACUCUCCAUUUUAUCACUUUCCAAGCGAUGAUGCAUCUGGCCCUAUAUCCUAAUUCCCCUGCUAGUUUUCCUUAAGAGGUUAAUAUGGACAUAACCAGUAUUCCGUGCAGUCAGGGCUUUUUCCUGGGUUUUAUUUAGAUGAGUAGCAGUAGAGACGGCAGCUCAGCCUGAUCUUCUGGCAUUGGGGCAGACCCUCAUGUUUCCCUGAUGAUCAUCUGAACACCAGAAGCAGUCAUCCCAAUGCUUAGGUGCUGCAUCCUGAUACCUAGGUUCUGGUUUUCUCUUUGGAACACUGCAGAAACAAGUACUGACUAAACCACCAUCAGAUAUAUACUGUAUAUGUGGAUACGCAAUGUAUUUCUGUUUGUAAAGAUUAUGUCUCAUUGUCCGCUUUCAGCAGAAUAAUUAGUGCACUUUCUUUCCAGACUUAAAAAGGGCCCAUGCAAGAAUAAGUGGUCUGGCCUUCAGUAUGUUCCUAAAAUAAUGAUCAAUUAAUCUAAUCCUGCUACAGUUAGGUGCAAUUUCACAUCGCACCUACAUCACAGAUUUGUGUUACUCCCUUAGAAAUGUGCACACAUAUUCUGCAGUGAUUCGGGGGGUUCGGUUUACAUGGUAAACACUGAGGUGCGGUGUGGUCAGUGGCUGGUGAUGCACCAGAUUUACAAACACAUACACGAUUUGGUGGAGAGUUUUGAUUGUAUUCUAAUCAUUUUUAUGCUCUAGAGUGUACUGGUGUAUGACAGGUGCGGCUCUGCAGAUCACUGAUGUAAAUAUAUGUGCACUGUGCCUGCUAAGUAAAUUGACACCAAAGAAUUGCCACAGCGUAUUUGGACAUUUUUUUAUUACACUUCUCACCUUUGGUGUUUUUAUGCAUUGGUGGGAGUGCACGUACAAAUGUGCUUUCAACAUAAAGUACACCUGGAAUGUGCAAAUGGCACUUCUUUAUAUGUGAUAAAAUGCUCUGUAAUGGAGACCAAAUAUGGAAUGCACCAAACGCCACCUCAUUCUCAACAAUCCAAUGCGACUUGUGCAUGACCUAAUGCAGAGGACCGAGUUUGAGAACCUCUGACCUAAUGCAUCCAUACAUCUAGACCAGCUAAUCUAGCACUUGGUGCCUCUUGUCAGAAGAUGCAAAACUUUUACACCCCAGAGAUGAUACAGUCUUCUCCCACAAAUCCAUGCACUACUCCGGGCACUCAGGUUAAUUUGUGACGAUAGACGUUCAAUCCAAAAGAGCUGUGUGCUCGUGCUUCUCUGUCGUCUAUGAAGACUUAUUGAUGCUGUACACCAUUAAUCCAAACAUAGUGAAGGUGAGUUUCUGCAAUGACCAUAAAACCGCCUCUAAAGGCAAAAAAAUAAAAAAAUCCAGUUGAAGUCAAGUGAAUCUGAAAAUAUGGCCUAGUGACUUUAUUACUAUUACCUAUAGCAAUGCACACUGCUGCAGAGAUCAUUCCCCAGUCUCAGCAUAAACUUCAGAUGUCUUACUGCCUAUACGGAUUAUCAGAUCAUUAACACAUAUUCACAUUCAUUGAUUUAAUUACCCUCCCAAGUAGAAAUUCUAUUUUUUGAAAGUGUGAGUAACUAUACUGUCUAUGGAAAGCAGUAUUGUGCAUAUUUGCACAAUUUAUAUAUAUUUACAGACCUUUUUGCAGACUCAUAUUGUGUAGCAAAUGUAAACAAUUACCCUUGGAUCCAGUAUGGGGCUGGAUGUAAUGAAAUCCCAGUUGGCCGGGAAUGCGGGUUCCCAGCCAAACUCGUACGUUUUUUUUUAAAAGCGGCAGUCAUUUACAAGGUAUGGUUUUGCCUUGUACAUAAUUGUCUCUUUAAAAAAAAUGUCCAAGUUCUGACAGGAACCUGCACCUCCGGCCAACUCGGAUUUCAUUACAUCCAGCCCAUUGUCUUCAAACUGCUGCUUUUAAAUGGACACCGUGUCAGCAACGGGUUGGUAUCCCGACAAAUCCCACAGAGUAUUUUAACCCUGACCCAUCUCUCCCGCAGCGAUGUACGAUACUGUACAUGCAACGGGUGUACAUAUUUACACACAAUGUGGGAAUUCUUCCAUAAUACAUGAAGGCACAGUAUGAUUCUAUCAGACAUUUACCACCCUCUAUCCUUUUUCUCAUUCAGUUGACUUUUGUUUACCAUUUAUUCUACUAAUUCCACCUCUGCCUACCUCGCACACGUCUUUUUCUGUGUCUUAUUUCUAAGCUAUCAUUCUAUACCAUUUUUCUGAUUUUUACUGCUCCCAUCCGUAUGCAGAGUACACCUGGUACAUUUUAUACAUGGGAAUUGGGGAUAGGACAGCAGGGAAUGGAGUGGUGUGAGGCUAACCAAAAGAAUCGCAGGGAGAAUGGCGAUGUUGCAGUCAGCACACUCACUGGUCAGGUGCACUCUGCUGCAAAUAUACGUGUCCAUUUAUGUUCCCACUCCCCUGUAUAUAAUAAAUUAAUAUGUCAGUUGAGCUACAGUGAUUUCUGGAAUUGUCUGUAUUAUUUUGAACAUUCUCAACAUUAUCCAAGUACUGAUAAAAGGGAAUCUGGUUGCUAUGUCUGUACUGCACACAUUGAUCCAACAUCUAUAUUUAGACUUGGGGGGGAUCAAAUUUUGGAGAGAGAGAAUCUGCCAACCAAUCAGCUUCUAGUUGUCAUGUUAGAGGCCGUGCUAGACAAAUGACAGGAGCUUGUUGGUUGCAAUGGGCAACUUGUUCACUAUAAUAUAUAAACGUGUGUGUGUGUGUGUGUGUGGUGUAAGGAUCCGCACUCACAUCCAGAGUUGGGCAACCCCGGGGUGCUCCACAAAGGCAACAAUCAUCCGGUUUUACUUAUAUAGACAUAAUGACCUAUUUUGGUCAGAAGACUGCACUAACCAAUAGUAGAAGUCCAAAUAUCUUUUAUAUAUAUAUAGUGUGUAUAUAUGUGUGUGUGUGUAUAUAUAUAUAUAUAUAUAUAUAUAUAUAUAUAUAUAUAUAUAUAUGUGUGUGUGUGUAUAUAUAUAUAUAUAUAUAUAAUACAUCUCAUUCUGUAACACUCCAAAGCCCUCUGAUGAAGUGUCUUUGGGAGAGACGUAUCAAAUAUAUAAUGUAAAAUACACCCGCAUUAUUCGCAAGCAUGGGUCAUUUGCCGAGAACAGUGUGCCGACGGCCUGGUGUAAUUACUCACUGCUGCGAUGCUUGCACAGUGCAAAUCCAUCAUGGCAAGGAUGAGACCAGCAGAUUGUGUGUGUGUAUGUAUAUAUAUAUAUAUAUUUAUUGAUUUGAGAGAGGGAGAUAUUAUAUUGUCCCUCAUAAGGUGAAUACAGCGUUAUACAGGUUGAGUAUACCAUAUCCAAAUAUUCCAAAAUACAGAAUUUUUUGAGUGAGAUAGUGAAACCUUUGUUUUCUGAUGACUCAAUGUACACAAACUGUAUAAUACACAAAGUUAUUAAAAAUAUUGGCUAUAAUGACCUUCAGGCUGUGUGUAUAAGGUGUAUAUGAAACAUAAAUGCAUUCUGUGCUUAGACUUAGGUCCCAUCACCAUGAUAUCUCAUUAUGGUAUGCAAUUAUUCCAAAAUACGGAAAAAUCCGAUAUCCAAAAUACCUCUGGUCCCAAGCAUUUUGGAUAAGGGAUACUCAACCUGUAGUUUGUUUGGGUCAGGUCUUCAGCUUGUUCAUUUCUGUUGUAAGUGCAGUUAUUUUAGAAUCAUUCAUGUUGUAUUGUGUCUUGUUGGAUAGUGCUGCAAUGUUCUAGGAUUUAACAUAGUCCGCCUCACUGAAACAAAAUAUUUCUAAAGGCUCAUGAGCUUUUCUUAACAAAACUGAAUCAAUUUGCUAAAUAAAUUAAUGGAAAACGACCUAGUUUGUUUUUCUAGUUGCACCAUGCAUUAAAUAAGAAUUUCCCAAACGUACUCCUCUUUUCGGCAGUGUUACAUGUACUACUAUACAUGCAAAGUUUUUUCCUUGGGCUCUGCUGAUUCCGUUCUGUAAAUCCGAACCGGUAAGAAAACUAAUGUAACCAUAUUUUAUAAACAGUGGGGGACCAAGCAGAAGCUACCCCAUGGUGAAGGGGAACGUUAGAUUAUAGAACGAAGGGGCUAAUUCAGACCUGAUCGCUAGGCUGUGUUUUCGUACAGCGGGCGAUCAGGUCUAAACUGCGCAUGCACCGCAAUGCGCAGGCGCAUCGCACAGGUACAAAGCGGAUCGCCACUCAGCGAUGGGUUUGUGUGAAGGAUCCAUUUGCACAGGUGCUCGCUCGCAAGGAGAUUGACAGGGAGAAGGCGUUUGUGGGUGGUAACUGACCGUUUUCUGGGAGUGUUUGGAAAAACGCAGGCGUGUCCAAGUGUUUGCAGGGUGGGUGUCUGACGUCAAUUCCUGUCCUGAACAGGCUUAAGUGAUCGCAGCGGCUGAGUAAGUCCUGGGCAGAGCAGAGACUGCACAAAAUCUGCAGCCCUCCCUUCCCCGUAGGCGGCGACUAUCCCAUUGUAGCAGUGCAAAAAUCGCCUGCUAGCGGUCAGGCCUGAAUUAGGCCCAGCGUUCGGUGUGGUAGGUGUAGUGCAGUGCAAAAUCGGAUUCCCUUUAGCUAGUAUGAGGAACAAGAUAAUGAUCGGAUAUUUUAGUCAAACUAAUGCUGGAAUACAGAUAAUUAAAAAGGCUCAAAGUUUCUGUGCUCCUAAUAUAAACUCUGCUGUAUCACAUGGGCACUUUCACAGCUAGUAAAGUGUAGUGUUCAUGUCCAGUCAUGGUGACUGCACAUGUAUGAUUAUAUCUGGUGGUCUGAUGUACUGUCCCGGUGUGUUUGUGCCACAGAGCCUGUGAUUUAUACCUCCAUAUAUCCAUAUCUGCAGUGUUUCUCAAUAACUUCUCUUGUAUCUCAUUCGUAAGGAGAACGUUGGCAAAUCCUCCGUCAAUGAUUAUAUUACAGAAAAUGUGAUUUACUAAUUCUAGUUAGUUUAUACGCUACAAAUAAAUGUACAUAUUUGAAAGGAUAUACUAUAACAUUUCCUGCAGUAGAUGUGCUGAAAUAGUAUAGAGAGGAAUGAACACUCAAUGGUUAGAAUUUCUGUAUGUUACAUCAGUUACCGGAAAUCUUGGCAAAUAUGUCUACAGUGUGUUCUAAACAAGCAGCAUUGGAUAUACGUAAUACAUACGUCCUUCUACAUAUCUUGUCCAUAUCACUGUUUACAUAUAGUUAAAGCCAUCCAUGUCUGUUUAUAGAGCUGUACAGUACAUUAAUAUGUGAAACCAAGCAAUAUAUCAUAAUCCAUGUAUGUAACAUGCAGGCCAUUGCAUAUCUGUGUACUAUAAAGAGCAGGCUUUAUUUCCUACCUUUCUAUGCAUAUGUUGUUAUAAUUAGAUUAACAUACUACAUAAAGAUAUGAACUCAAUGACACUACCUGUACUGCAAAUAAUUCCAGUGUGGCUGUAAGCAGUACACCUGCCCACCCUCCUCACUUUGUACCAAUGCAAUAUGUAAGUGUAUUACAACCAUGCAUGAUUACACAGAUGAAUAAACCUUGAAGCUCCUCCAGUAUUAAUGUGUGUGGUCUCUUAUACAGAAACACCAGGGGCAGCCUGGUAGAGAUGCAACCUCUAAACGUACUCAGUGCACAUAAUUGUGUAAAUAAUAUAUUUACAAUAAAGCAAAUAGCACUGUUAUGUGCAAAUGAAA